This 756-nucleotide ribosomal RNA is filed under the name uncultured bacterium. Its description in RNAcentral is "bacterial SSU rRNA". It matches the Rfam family "Bacterial small subunit ribosomal RNA", at positions 8 to 761 of the family's 1533-position model. The record is from RNAcentral.
AGAGUUUGAUUCUGGCUCAGAUUGAACGCUGGCGGCAUGCCUUACACACGCAAGUCGAACGGUAACGCGGGGCAACCUGGCGACGAGUGGCGAACGGGUGAGUAAUGCAUCGGAACGUGCCCAGUAGUGGGGGAUAGCCCGGCGAAAGCCGGAUUAAUACCGCAUACGACCUAUGGGUGAAAGCGGGGGAUCGCAAGACCUCGCGCUAUUGGAGCGGCCGAUGUCAGAUUAGGUAGUUGGUGAGGUAAAGGCUCACCAAGCCUUUGAUCUGUAGCUGGUCUGAGAGGACGACCAGCCACACUGGGACUGAGACACGGCCCAGACUCCUACGGGAGGCAGCAGUGGGGAAUUUUGGACAAUGGGCGCAAGCCUGAUCCAGCCAUGCCGCGUGCGGGAAGAAGGCCUUCGGGUUGUAAACCGCUUUUGUCAGGGAAGAAACGCUCUGGGCUAAUACCCCGGGGUAAUGACGGUACCUGAAGAAUAAGCACCGGCUAACUACGUGCCAGCAGCCGCGGUAAUACGUAGGGUGCAAGCGUUAAUCGGAAUUACUGGGCGUAAAGCGUGCGCAGGCGGUUAUGCAAGACAGAUGUGAAAUCCCCGGGCUUAACCUGGGAACUGCAUUUGUGACUGCAUAGCUGGAGUGCGGCAGAGGGGGAUGGAAUUCCGCGUGUAGCAGUGAAAUGCGUAGAUAUGCGGAGGAACACCGAUGGCGAAGGCAAUCCCCUGGGCCUGCACUGACGCUCAUGCACGAAAGCG